RNAcentral lists this ribosomal RNA (466 nucleotides) under uncultured bacterium. RNAcentral describes it as "partial 16S ribosomal RNA". It matches the Rfam family "Bacterial small subunit ribosomal RNA", at positions 28 to 507 of the family's 1533-position model. The record is from RNAcentral.
GACGAACGCUGGCGGCGCGCCUAACACAUGCAAGUCGAACGAGCGAGAGGAGGUUUACUUUCUCAAGCGAGUGGCGAACGGGUGAGUAACGCGUGAGGAACCUGCCUCAAGGAGGGGGACAACAGUUGGAAACGACUGCUAAUACCGCAUAAGCCCACGACCCGGCAUCGGGUAGAGGGAAAAGGAGCAAUCCGCUUUGAGAUGGCCUCGCGUCCGAUUAGCUAGUUGGUGAGGUAAUGGCCCACCAAGGCGACGAUCGGUAGCCGGACUGAGAGGUUGAACGGCCACAUUGGGACUGAGACACGGCCCAGACUCCUACGGGAGGCAGCAGUGGGGAAUAUUGCACAAUGGGGGAAACCCUGAUGCAGCGACGCCGCGUGGAGGAAGAAGGUCUUCGGAUUGUAAACUCCUGUUGUUGAGGAAGAUAAUGACGGUACUCAACAAGGAAGUGACGGCUAACUACGUG